UGAGGUGUAGCUCAGUGGUAGAGUAUUUGCUGAGCAUGCAACAGGCCCUGGGUUCAAUCCCCAGUACCACUC
RNAcentral lists this transfer RNA (72 nucleotides) under Marmota monax (woodchuck). It matches the Rfam family "tRNA". From Rfam's summary of the family: Transfer RNA (tRNA) molecules are approximately 80 nucleotides in length. Their secondary structure includes four short double-helical elements and three loops (D, anti-codon, and T loops). Further hydrogen bonds mediate the characteristic L-shaped molecular structure. tRNAs have two regions of fundamental functional importance: the anti-codon, which is responsible for specific mRNA codon recognition, and the 3' end, to which the tRNAs corresponding amino acid is attached (by aminoacyl-tRNA synthetases). tRNAs cope with the degeneracy of the genetic code in two manners: having more than one tRNA (with a specific anti-codon) for a particular amino acid; and 'wobble' base-pairing, i.e. permitting non-standard base-pairing at the 3rd anti-codon position. Lineage: Eukaryota; Metazoa; Chordata; Mammalia; Rodentia; Sciuridae. RNAcentral also lists the same sequence under 1 other name. The record is from Rfam by way of RNAcentral.